This is a non-coding RNA of Gammaproteobacteria bacterium 13_2_20CM_66_19, 139 nucleotides long. Lineage: Bacteria; Pseudomonadati; Pseudomonadota; Gammaproteobacteria. The record is from Rfam.
CAGUGGGUGCGAAUCCCACCCGGCGACUUUCGCUCCAGCCGGUAGCAAUCGGAGCAGUCGUGGAGGUAACGAAGCGGCUGAAGCCUUCGGUGAAAAGAGCCCUGUGAGGGGUUUGGCGAGUAUGCAGGCCGUAACGAGA